RNAcentral lists this ribosomal RNA (253 nucleotides) under uncultured bacterium. RNAcentral describes it as "partial 16S ribosomal RNA". It matches the Rfam family "Bacterial small subunit ribosomal RNA", at positions 524 to 776 of the family's 1533-position model. The record is from RNAcentral.
UACGAAGGGGGCUAGCGUUGUUCGGAAUUACUGGGCGUAAAGCGCACGUAGGCGGACUCUUAAGUCAGGGGUGAAAUCCCGGGGCUCAACCUCGGAACUGCCUUUGAUACUGUGAGUCUCGAGACCGGAAGAGGUGAGUGGAAUUCCUAGUGUAGAGGUGAAAUUCGUUGAUAUUAGGAAGAACACCAGUGGCGAAGGCGGCUCACUGGUCCGGUUCUGACGCUGAGGUGCGAAAGCUAGGGGAGCGAAAGGG